This 57-nucleotide transfer RNA is filed under the name Ceraphronidae sp. ZJUH_2016007. Its description in RNAcentral is "tRNA-Ser". Lineage: Eukaryota; Metazoa; Arthropoda; Insecta; Hymenoptera; Ceraphronidae. The record is from RNAcentral.
GAAAUAAAUAACCUUAAAGCUUCUAACUUUAAAAAAAAUUUAAAAAUUUAUAUUUCU